UACCAGCACCCCGAGUGGUCGGGACGUUUAUUGGGCCUAAAGCAUCCGUAGCCGGUUCUACAAGUCUUCAGUUAAAUCCACCUGCUUAACAGAUGGGCUGCGGAAGAUACUAUAGAGCUAGGAGGCGGGAGAGGCAAGCGGUACUCGAUGGGUAGGGGUAAAAUCCGUUGAUCCAUUGAAGACCACCAGUGGCGAAGGCGGCUUGCCAGAACGCGCUCGACGGUGAGGGAUGAAAGCUGGGGGAGCAAACCGG
RNAcentral lists this ribosomal RNA (253 nucleotides) under uncultured bacterium. RNAcentral's name for it is "partial 16S ribosomal RNA". It matches the Rfam family "Archaeal small subunit ribosomal RNA", at positions 474 to 727 of the family's 1478-position model. The record is from RNAcentral.